CAUCUUAACAGAAGAAAUUAACUAACUCAUCCACUCAUACAGAGAAAAGCUAGUACUCUCAGAUCACAUAAGCUGGCAGCCAAUCUCCCAACACAAACAUCAGGACGAGUCUUGCUGCCAGCAUCUCCUGCUUACAUACAUACAUACGACGCUCAAUACAGACAUACCAAACUACAUCAGCACCAUGUUGAACAUUCGCCAUCCAACUCCAGGUGUAUGGCCCAAGCAAGACCAGAGCAACUAGAGAGCAAGCUCAGAUCUGCAGACAUGUAUUGAGUUAGAAACGUGAAGCUACCACAGUUGAUGCAAUGGGAAUCUUUCCUAUCCUAAGUUCUGAAGAAGCAGGCAUGCGCUAAAUUGCAAAGUACAACAUAGCUUAAGAAUAACCGGACAGAAGUGCUUAUUUAUGCCCCCCGCAAGAAUCCCAGAGCCAUCUUAUUGCAGUUCAGAAGGAAUAUACAUAAAAAUUAGCAGACCAUAAACAGGUGAACUCUAUCGUCUGCUCUUGGAAACAGAACAUGUAAAUAAGGAGUGCUCAUAAAUAGACGGCCAAGAGCCUUGAAACAUCAAUUUACAGGUUAUGCAAGCGCGAUAGUCAUUUUCUCUCCUAAGAUAUGGAGCAACAAAUAUUAGCUUUCCAAACUAGUAUGUGUUCUUUUUUUUUUCACCAACGGAGGCCCUCCUAAGAUAUAAUUGUUAAACAUACGUGCAAAAUCAAACAAUGAAUUGGCUGCCUCACCUAGCUAGUUUGACAAGGCAAUCAAGCCCAAUACUAAGUCCACACAUAAACAUGUGAGUAGAACAAGCAAAUUGUCAACAAAAAAUUAAUAUGAUUAGGCUUACCAAUUGAUCAAAUAGCUGGUUCUGAUAACAGCCGUGGGAAGCUAAAAUAGGGGAGAGCAUGUUUGCACUCGAAGAAGUUCUCCAUCUUUGUACAGACCUUGCUAAUUUCAUAAGUCUUGACGUCCAUCGAGUAACAAUCGAGAUUCUCUAACCCACUGCCAAGUGGAACGCCUUGGAAGAACAAGAGCCCCUCGGCCGCACCCACUGUGGAAAUGGUAUAUUGAUGAUACUGCUCAGGUAGCUGUAUGAUCUUCUUCAGAUUCCAUUCAUGAGAAUUAUCCUGCAGAGAGGUAUGGUGGAGGGCAAAGGACCCGUUUUGAUGGAUUAGAGAAAACAUCUCAAUGACUCCUUCCCUACCGACAACAACUGCAUUUCGACGCCAGCCGGUAAAGAACUCAAUGGUUGGAUCAACAUCUCUGAGCUGCAGAUGGUACCCGGUGAGAAUAUUGACAGCUGAAAACCUCAAAGUGCACGUGUCCAGCACCCUCAAAUCACUAUCCAACUCCCAAGGUUGCGGCCAGUAGAAGCAGCCACGCACACAGUCAAAACAGGACGUGUGUUCCAAAGCAGGUGCGAAGGGAGAAUCGACCAUAGACCAUUGUUCACUAUCACUAGCUGUGGAUGAAAAGACAAAGAGGACGAGCUUUGUCAGGUAUCUUGCAAAGCAUAUCACCUUGAAGGGCUCCUCCUCGCCGUCGUCCCCGGUGGCUGGAGCGAGCACAGGAUCGAAUGCCAAAAGGCGAUCCUGCGGCUGGGCGGCGAGGUCCUCGGGUAUGGUUGGAAGCAGCGCGUAUCUGCGAGAUAAGGGAUGGCAGACGGCGAGUUGGAACCUGGCGGCGUUGCGUCGCUCCCGUUUGGGACCAUCCUCGUCGUCACCGAGCUCCUCAGAGUCUUCUUCGGAGUUGUCGUCUUCCAGGAGGAUUGUAAGUGCAUCUAGUGCCACCCCUAGUUGGUUUUGGAGUAUUGACGACAAACCUAGUUGAGAGACUAAUGUGUUUGUGAGAAUUGCAGGAUAACACAGGUAGAAGUCCCUCAUUGAUUCGGUUUUCCUACCGGAGAUGACCCCUAAAAAUGUAUGAAGACAUUGAAGUCAAAGGUGGUAUAUGAAGAUAUUCACAUUGAAGACUAUGACAAGAGAAGACACCACAUGAAGCCUAUGGAGCUCGAAGACUCAGAUCUUUCGUAGUUCUUUUUCUUUUGUGUUGAGUCAUAGGAACCACCGUACUGUUAAGUGGGGUCCAAGAGAACCAGUCAGAAUGACUGAAGUGAUGCCUAACCAUAACCUAUGUCUUCGAGUGAAGACUAUGAGAGCGAAACUUGUCCAGAGUCGGACAAGUCAGCUUUGCUUGUAGCCCAAGUAAAGUUGCCGUGUGAGUUUGAAAUCUGACCGUUGGAACACAUGUCAGUUCCUUAUUGACCCAGGGUCAUUUCGGACAAAUCAGGUCAGGUUGCCAAGUGGCUAUAAAUAGCCCACCCCCUACAACCAUAAACGGUUGGCUGCUCAGAUUCAGGGUACGGCUUUUGUCGUUUGAGAGCAACCCACCUCGAAGCCUUUGAGAGAGAAUUCAUUGCGAGGAUAAAUCCCUAACCACCCAGAGCCAAAGAGAAUUAGGCAUCACUUAAGUCUUCUUGACUGUGUGAUCUGAAGACUUAUUACACUUGAGGACUGUGCAUCCUCCAGCCAGUUAGGCGUCGCGUUCUGAGCAUCCAAGAGACAUUGUGGAUUGCCGGUGAACGAAGUCUGUGAAGGUUUGGGAGUCUACCUUGAAGACUUACCAGAGUGAUUGGGCGAGGUCUGUGUGACCUUAGCUCAAGGGGAAUACGGUGAGGACUGGGUGUCCUGAGCUGCGUGUCCUAAGGUUUAAAUACCUAGCCGCCCUAACCAGACGUACAGUUGUCACAGCAACUGGAACUGGUCCAACAAAUCAUUGUCUUCAACGAGUCACUGGUUUCAUCUUCCCUUCCCUUUACUUACUGUUACUCCUUGUGAAGUCAUUGUAUGUUUGCACUAUCUUUUGUCUUCACUAAAUGACUGCGUGUUCUGUCUGGCUUCACAAUAUCUUCCUACCUGAUCCUUACUACAUUGCUGCUAUUAGUCAUUGUGCUUUCACUCUAUUGAAUACUUGACUAUGGCCUGCCUAGUGUAGUCUACCUUCCGCUGCAGGGUAUUAGGUUUAUUUCUAUCGUUUGUCUUCAUAACUCCAACGUUUUGAAGACUUUCAUAAAAAUCAGCUAUUCACCCCCCCUCUAGUUGGUAUAACGCACUUUCAAUUGGUAUCAGAGCAAGGUGCUCCCUUGUUCUGUGUGAUUCGGUUUAACCACCUGGAGUUUUAGCUAUGUCGACUGCAGGGAUAAUUAAAGUCUCCGCUGCGUGCCCCGUCUUCGAUGGAACUGAAUAUCCCUACUGGAAGAAUAAGAUGCGCAUGCAUCUUGAAGCCAUUGACGUCGACCUAUGGUAUGUCGUCGAGAACGGCGUUCCAAGGCUGGAGAAGGUGUCACUGCUGCUGAUGUCAAGAAAUUCGUUCAACUGGACUCUACUGCCAAGAAUAUCAUCUGUGGUCAUCUGACCAAAGGACAGUAUGGCCGUGUGAGUGCUUUGAAGACAUCUAAGCUGGUCUGGGACUGGCUCUCCAAGGUCAAUGAAGGCGUCUCAACCCAGAGAGAUCAGAGAAUUAGUGUCCUUCGCAACCUCUUCAACCGCUUCAAGCGAAAUGACAAUGAGAAUGUCCAGCACACAUUUGACCGACUCACUGACAUCACGAAUGAGCUUCAAGCCCUCGGCGCUACUGAGAUCACCAAACAUGAAGUCGUCAAGACACUACUGAGAUCACUUGAUAGUUCGUUUGACAUCCUAGCCCUGAUGAUUCAAGAACGUCCUGAUUUCAAGACACUCGAUCCGUCUGACAUACUUGAGAGGCUCAACACACAUGAGUUUCAGCUUUCUGAGAAAAGAGAUAUCUACGGUCCAAACUAUGGGCGAACUCGUGCCUUGAAGGCAAAAGCUGUCUCCUCAUCUGAAGAAGAAUCUGACUGCAGUUCUGAUGAUCCUGAAGACAUUGGAAGGGAACUUGCUAUGCUUGUCAAGAAGUUCCCAAAAUUCACCAAGAAGAAAGGCUUCAGAAAGUCUUCCCGAUCAAGCUCAAGAAAUGAUGAAGCUUCUGCUCAUGACUACAAGAAGAAAACAUGUCACAAGUGCAAGAAACUUGGCCACUUCAUCUCUGAGUGUCCACAGUGGGACAAUGAGAACAAAAAGAAGAAGAAGAGCAAGGAAUAUGACUCUGACGACAAGAAGAAGAAGAAAUACUCAAAGCCUUCUUCCAAGUCUUCCUCAAAGUCUUCAUUACACAAGAAGAGCUCAUCUGGCAAGGCACAUGCGUUUGUUGGCAAGGAAAUGGAUUCAGAGGAGGAGUCCGCUUCUGAGGAGGCGGAUGUGGAGUCUGAGGAGGAGUCCGAUUCAGGCAUCGCAAGUCUGGCUACCGCAUACGUUGCCAAGUCCAUCUUCAACACUGAAGACAAUGACUUCAUCACCGCAAAUGACAAGGACUACUCCGCUUCUACCUACUGCUUCAUGGCACGCGGUGCCAAGGUAAACUCAUGCACUACUCACUAUCAAACAUCUAGUGACGAUGAUUCUGAGUGUGGUUCAAAACCCAGCUACAAAACACUUGCUAAAAUUGCAACUGGACAACAGAAAGCUAUGGAACAUAUUCAAAAACUGUUAGACAGAAGCGAUGACCUGUUAGGUGCUGAAAUGACUCGAUCUGAAUCCUUAAUUGAAGACAUAAAAAAUCUUCACGUUAAGUAUCAGGAACUUGAAAGUCGUCAUGAAACUCUCUCAACAACUCAUGAAAAGCUUUCCUAUGAUUAUCUUCAAAGGAAGCAAGAUCUUGAGAAAUUGAGAGCGGCUCAUGAAGAUCUUCAAAAGGAAAGCGAGUCACUUCGCGCCAAACAGAUCAGUUCCGCUCAGGAAGGAUUUGAACCACCAUGUCUUAAAUGCAUUGAGCGUGAUAAUGUUACUUCUGUUGCUGAAUGUUCUACUGCUACUGUUGUUGCAAUAUCUUCAACUGUUGAUGUGGUAACUAACCCCUCUGCUGAGGACACCACCGCUAUUGCUGAUGAGAAUGCUAGGUUGAAGACAUUGCUCGAAACAGGGAUGUACAAAAGUCUUAAAGGGCAUCAGACACUAUGUGAUGUCCUCAAAAAGCAGAUUCUGAACAGAAACCCGAGGAAAGAGGGUGUUGGGUUCGUAAGGAAAAUGAAUGUUGAUGGCUCUUACUGGAAACCUGAGCAGUACCCCAAAACCAUGUGGGUUGCUGCAAAGGAACCUUCAGCAGAUCCAUCCAAUCUAUCUGGCUUCACUUGUGCUAACCCCAUUAUCAUUGAUGAAUCCUUUGAUGCAAACUAUAUACUGUUUAAGAAUCAGAAUGGUGAAGUGUUUGCCAGGUACAUUGGUACUAACUGCAGAAAUGGACCACCUAUGAAGAAAAUCUGGGUUCCGAAAAGAUGUUUGGAGAAUCUUCCUGUGAAUGUCGUCAUGACACCUCGCGUGAAGAAGACAAAUCUCAGACCAAAGGCUUCAUACGGUCCAAAGGCUUCAUACGGACAGAGGACUCACCUGAGUCGUACUAACGCAAAUGCUUUGCAGGGAAACCAUACUCAGACAUAUGAAUAUGAGAGCGGGUCAUCAAACCGCCAUGUUCAUAAGACCAAGAACUAUUCUGCUUAUUCUUAUGAGUACUAUUGUCCGCCUGCAAGACUGUUUCCUAGGGCUCCAAAGCCAAAAUUCUCAGAUGCUGCACUUAGACUUAUUGCUUCUAAGCCACCCUUGAAGAUGUGGGUGGCUAAGAAAGCUUAACUCUCUUUUGCAGGGAAAGGUCUCCGGCAGAAAACCAAAAUCAUCUGACGCUAUUGCUGGGGACCUUAAACAUCUUGUAGGGCGCAAGAUCAAAUGCGCGAAUGGUCUUACUAUGUACUUCGUUCCUGAAUCGCUUGCUACUCUCCCUAUUAGUCCUAAUCUGGAUCUAAGCUUUCAUAACCCACUGGCUCGUCAAAUGUUUUUGCUUCACAAUGCUCUUGGUGAAGCCUAUCCCCCUAACUGCACUGUAGGGUACGACACCAGCGUCUUCAGAAUGGAUUAUUGAUAGUGGGCGUACAAAUCACAUGACUGGCAAAAGAAGCCUUCUAAUGGACUCAACCUUACGUCCAUCCGACAAGAGCCACAUCACAUUUGCUGACACUGGUAAAAGUAAGGUAUUGGGUCUAGGUAGAGUUGCAAUCUCAAGGGAUCAACACAUGGAUAAAGUCAUGCUUGUUGAAUCCCUUGGCUUCAACUUAAUGUCUGUCUCAAUGCUUUGCGAUUUGAACAUGAUCGUAAUAUUUGGAAAAUAUCGUUGCCUUGUACUAAUGGAAUCUGACAAGUCUCUAGUAUUUGAAGGGUAUCGAAAAGAUGAUUUGUACGUGGUAGAUUUCUCAGCAGGACCACAGCUUGCCGUAUGUCUUCUAGCAAAAGCUUCAGAAUGCUGGCUAUGGCAUCAGAGGCUUGGGCAUGCUGGCAUGAUGAACCUCCACACCCUUGCAAAGAAGAAGCAUGUCAUAGGCAUCGAGGGCGUCAAGUUCAAGAAAGAUCACUUAUGCGGUGCCUGUGAAGCAGGAAAGAUGACGAGGGCCAAACAUCCCUCGAAGACAAUCAUGACCACUACUCGACCCUUCAAACUGCUUCACAUGGAUCUUUUCGGUCCCACUCAUUACUCAACUCUUACUACUACUGCUUGUAUCUAUGGCUUCCUCAUUGUUGAUGAUUAUUCUAGAUAUACUUGGGUGCACAUAAUCCUUUACAAGACUGAAGUGCAGGAUGUCUUCAGACGCUUCGCAAAUCGAGCUAUGAACAAUUAUGGCGCCAAGAUAAAGCACAUCAGAAGUGACAAUGGCACUGAAUUCAAGAACACUGGCCUUGAUACAUAUCUUGAUACCUUGGGCAUCACACAUGAAUUCUCGGCCCCGUACACGCCACAGCAGAAUGGCGUCGUCGAACGCAAGAACAGAACACUCAUUGAGAUGGCCAAACGAUGCUAGAUGAAUACAAGACCCCAAGAAAAUUCUGGCCUGAAGCCAUUGACACUGCAUGCCAUACAAUCAAUCGUGUUUAUCUUCACAAGCUUCUGAACAAGACAUCUUAUGAGCUCCUUACUGGCAAGAAGCCAAAUGUCAGUUACUUCAGAGUAUUUGGCGCAAGGUGCUGGAUCAAGGACCCACAUCACACCUCAAAGUUUGCACCAAAAGCACAUGAGGGUUUUAUGCUUGGAUAUGGAAAGGAUUCACACUCCUACAGAGUCUUCAAUCUCUUUCAUUACAAAGUGGUUGAAAUAGUGGAUGUGCGGUUCGAUGAGACCAACGGUUCACAAAGAGAGCAACUGCCAAACGUGCUAGAUGAAGUUCCAUCCAGUGAAUCAAUCAAGCUAAUGGGAACUGGAGAAAUUAUACCUUCUGAAGUUCAUCCUGAAGAAGAACUUAUCAUCUCAGCACCUGAUCAACAUGAAGAUAAUGCUCAGCCUGAAGACAUUCCUUCUAACAACGACAAUGAUUAGCAAGAGCAAAAUCUUCACCCUGUACAUCCUCGCGUUGCCAAUAAAGUGCAGAUUGAAAGAAUAAUUGAUAGCAUCAAUGCACCCGGUCCACUCACUCGUUCAAGGGCAACUCAGCUAGCAAAUUUCCGUGGGCACUUCGCAUUCGUCUCAAUAACAGAACCCAAGAAAGUUGAAGAAGCAUUCAUGGAACCUGAAUGGAUUCAAGCUAUGCAAGAAGAGCUUCAACAGUUUGAGCUGAAUAAUGUAUGGGAACUGGUUAAGCGUCCUGAUCCACGGAAGCACAAUAUAAUAGGCACCAAAUGGAUAUACUGCAACAAGCAAGAUGAGCAUGGUCAAGUUGUCAGAAACAAAGCUCGUCUCGUCGCUCAAGGAUAUACUCAAGUGAAAGGCAUUGACUUCGAUGAAACAUUUGCUCCUGUGGCUAGACUUGAAGCCAUUCACAUACUGCUGGCCAAUGCAAAUCAUCAUAACAUACUUCUAUAUCAAAUGGAUGUGAAGAGUGCUUUUCUCAAUGGCAAGAUUGGAGAAGAAGUGUAUGUUGCACAACCGCCUGGCUUUGAAGAUCCAAAACAUCCUGACAUGGUAUACAAGCUCAACAAGGCACUGUAUGGCCUCAAACAAGCCCCUCGGGCCUGGUAUGACACACUCAAAUACUUCCUGAAGAGCAAAGGCUUCAUACCUGGUUCCCUAGACCCCACUCUCUUCACGAAGACAUAUGAUGGUGAACUGUUUGUGUGCCAAAUAUAUGUGGAUGACAUUAUCUUCGGCUGCACCAAUCAGAAAUACAGUGAAGAGUUUGGAUAUAUGAUGCAAGAGCAAUAUCAGAUGUCCAUGAUGGGGGAGCUGAAGUUCUUCCUCGGUCCUCAAAUACGACAACAACACAACGACAUCUUCAUAUCUCAAGAGAAGUAUCUCAAAGAUUGCCUGAAGAAGUUUGGUAUGCACGACUGCAAAGGCUUCACAACACCAAUGCCAGCCAAACAUCAUCUGGGUCCCGACGACAAUGGUAAAGAGUUCGAUCAAAAGGUAUACCGCUCCAUGAUUGGUUCUUUACUUUAUCUAUGUGCAUCUAGGCCAGAUAUUAUGCUUAGUGUUUGCAUGUGUGCUCGAUUUCAAGUGGCACCAAAGGAGUCGCAUCACUUAGCUGUGAAGCGAAUUCUUCGAUAUUUGGCUCACACCCCAACUCUAGGAUUAUGGUAACCAAAGGGCUCAGAGUUUGAUCUGGUUGGAUUCUCGAAUGCUGAUUAUGCUGGUGACAAAGUUGAUCACAAGUCUACAUCAGGCACAUGUCAUUUUCUGGGACGAUCACUUGUAUGUGGGUCUUCAAAGAAGCAGAACUGUGUAUCUCUCUCCACUGCUGAAUCUGAAUACAUUGCUGUUGGAUCUUGCUGCGCUCAGCUUCUGUGGAUGAAGCAAACACUCAAGGACUAUGGCAUUCAUCUGAAGCAAGUGCCACUUUAUUGCGACAACGAAAGCGCCAUCAAGAUUGCCAACAACCCAGUUCAGCACUCGAAGACAAAGCACAUUGAAAUUCGUCAUCACUUUCUCAGAGAUCAUGUUGUGAAGGAAGAUAUUGAUAUCAUACACGUCAACACUGAAGAGCAAUUGGCAGAUAUCUUCACCAAGCCCUUGGAUGAGAAGAGAUUUUGCAAGUUACAGUGUGAGCUGAAUAUCCUGGAAUCCUCAAAUGUCCUGUGAUCGGGCACACAUCCUAACACUUAUGCAUGCUGAUGACUUAGAUGUGCAACACACGAAGCAAAAUAUAAAGCACCCGCCCAUAUGGACCCGCUUGAAGACUAUCAACCUCAUAUGCUUCUCCCCCUUUUGUCAGUAAGGACCAAAAAGGUUCGAAGACAUAGAGCAUCUACUCGUUCCCACUAGGAGUAGGUGAAGUAGCAGGGUUGUUGGUGGUGUUUGGCGGUGCUGAAGAGCUUGGAGCAGAGUUGAAGCAUGCUGAAGGAGGUGGCGGUGAAGUAGCAUCGUCUUCAUCCUCGAUAAUUCUGGCAGUCACUGUUGCAGCAGAGGAGGAGAACUCAGAGUCUUCAAGGGAUGGAGUUCCUAGCAGCACAAAUCUUCGAGGGGGUGUGGAGUCAAACUUGAAUCGCUCGGUGAAGCCAUCCUCUUGAAGAUCAUCUUCAGAACACAUCAUCGUUAGCCCUUUCCAUGUGCGGCGACAGGUUUCAUGGGCAAUGAAAGCAUUCUUGGUGGCAAGAUUGCGAAUGCGAUUAACAUCCACCCAGAGGCUUUUCAUCUAACGCUUCAGCCAGUCAUGAUGCCUAUCCUGUUUCUGAUGAAGAGCCACAAGAAGCUCUCGGUCAUUGAGAACACAAGUGUGCUUCUUGGGUCUUGGAGCAGUUGUACUAUCAGUGGCUUCAGUGGAAGAAGGGUGUGGUGCACGUGUAGUGCCAGCCAAAGGAUACACCCGAGUGACUGCUUCAACUCCUUCAAUGUUCUGAGAGAAACUCUGAUGCUCUGCAUUCUGAAGACUUAGAGGUUCCUUGUCAGGCUCAGGAUAGAUGGCUUCAAUAGAGAUAUCCACAUCAGGUAGAAAAAUCCGAUGAUUGCGAGCAGAUGGCUGAUAUGAGAUACCGGAGUGAAGUUUGAUUAGCCGCAUUACUCAGGGGGCGUAGAACUUCAAGCCAAACAGAUCAGAGCCUGAUGCAGCAAGUUGGCGAAUGAAGAAGUCCUGUGCAUUGAAGCAUUUUCCAUGAAGAAUAUAGAAGACCAAAUUCUUCAUUGCACCCUCAAGCUUGGCAUUUGGAGAGUGCCCUUUGAUGGGCCAGAGAGUUCGCCUGAUGAUGUGAUAAAUGGUUCUUGGCAGAUACUCAAGGUCUUCAAUGAAGAACUCCGUGGAAUAGGUAGCAUCUUGGGGCAAUGGCUUCAUCAUGCUGAGCAUCUGACUCAUAUCAGGUUCAGGCUUCUGAAAGAUGCUCUCAAUAGCUUCACUAUGCAGCUGACAGCCAUGCUCGUAGAGAUCGCCAGGAGUGGGCAAGCCAGUGAGCUCAAUGAUGUCAAAGGCUUUGGCUUCGUGAUGAAUGUUUCUAGUCAUCCACUCUAGGACCCAAGUCUUCGGAUCUCUGCUAUACCUGCGGAUGUGAAGUGUGGCAUAGAAUUGGAGCAGCAACUCUUCAUUCCAAUGCUCUUGGUCAGUAACGAACGGCAGCAGUCCAACUUCCUUGAAGCAAUCCAAAGCUUCUUCCAGACAGGGCAGACCAGCUAUAGCUUCAAUGUCAAGGCGCUUGUGUGGAAAGAUGCGACCUUGGUUGUAAAGAAUGCAUGAGUAAUAGCUUCGCUGCGGAUAGCUCCAGAACCGAUCAGAUGAUAUCCUUUCCCUUGAGUAGGGGUUCCUGGAGCUAUUGAAGAAUGUGUUGUCUGCCCUGAAGCCAUUGAUGUUGAAGGAGCCAGGUGCUGAUGCAGGACCUGGGAACCUUGGCAAUCUUGGGAUUGGCUUCUGUAUCUGAGGCCUGUGCUCAAUAUGAUAGUUGAACUGGGGACCGGCAGCAGACUCAGGAAUAGAAGUGGCGGGAUCAGUGGCUUCGCUGUCUUCUAAUGCUUUUGUUGGGGAGGGCUCCACAUUAGCUUCAUUGGUGGUUGUGGCAGCCGCAAGAUUUUCAAGCACGUUCUCCUUGAGAACUGCUUCUUGGUGGGACAUGGGAGUGGCAACUUGGGGGACUUCUUCUUUCGCGGCUGAUGCAGCCGGAAUGUCUUCAGCAGAGACUUGAGGCCUUGGACCUUUGCGAAGCCUGCGCAACGCGGGCGACGCCUAUGGAGUUGGAGUGGGCUGGGCCUCAUAGUCUUCUUCCUCUUGUGGGUGAGCCGCCCAUGAAGCAUCUUGUGCAAUUGGCGUCAGUGGACGACCAAUGCUGAUGAGUUCGCUGUUCUCGAGCUGAGGAAGGACUGCACCAUCUUCUACAUUGUCAUGUUGACCAAUGUCUUCAGCAGAGAUGGGAUCAGCUGCUGGAAAGGCUUCAGCUUCACGAGCCUCUGUGGAAGCAGGCUCAUGGAUUGUCAGUUGGCGUUCAGCUUCAGGAUAGACCAUAGAAAUGGGUUCAACUAUUAAAGGCUCUGUGGGAGCAGCCCAAUCUUUCUUGGUCUUUCUCUUUUUCUUGGAGGGGGCGGUAGGAGAGGCUUCAGGAUAUUUCCUCUUCCUGGCUUCAGCCUCAGCAAUCCUCGUCUUCUUGAGCUCUGAAGCGGUUGACCGGCUUUUUGGCUUCGAGCCAGUCAGUCUAGUUGGCAAGACAAUCGGAACUGCUUCCUGCCUUGGUGCAUCGGGUUCAGCCGUAGCAGGCUUCUUCUUCUUCUUUGCGGCCAUCCGGGGGUCGAUGCCAGGACGCCCAAGGGCCUUCCGCUUCUCAGCCUUAUUGUAGGCUUGCACACAUCUGUCAGCCAGAGCCUUCAUGCGCUCACGUGAACCCUGAGCUUCUGCACGUUUCUUCAGAAAGGCUUCCUUGAGCUCGUGCAUCAUGAUCUUGAAGUUCUUCACUUCUUGCACACUGAGCUUGGCCAUAUUCUUCUUGAACUAAGCCUUUUCAUAGUCAAUCUUUUGCUUCAGUUCAACAAUGCGCUGGGCGACAACUAGCUUUGAAGCAAUGGCGCCUUGGAAGGCGACACUGAGGCCAAUGGGUAGUUGCAGAUCUUCAAAGCUGAUGUUUGGCGUGUCAAACCACUCGUCAAUGAAGUUGUGGAUGAUGGUUACAUCAAAGAGAGGCAGAUCAUUGAAGAUUUCUGCUUCUUCUUUGCCCUUGAUGAGUUGCUCAAGAGCGUCAUCAGCAAGAUCUUCAUCACUUGACAGAUCGAUGGCGUCAUUGCGCAAAAUGGCAGCAGCAGUUAGCUCUUGGCUAGUGUGAGGCAGAGGCAUCUUGACCUUCUAGGGCUUGGAGAUGCGUGAUAAGUUUUCGACUGCACACUGUCUUCAGGAGGUGCAGUUUCCAGUGGCUUUGCCCGUGAGAUUUUUGGUGAAGGGGCAAGCUUUGAAGCUUUAGGCUUCUUCAGCUUCUUUGUCUUCAGCACUACAGGCGUUUCAUCUGAUUCAGCGUCAGCUGCAAGCUCAUUCACUGCAGUUCCUUGAACUAAGAUGCGGGUGAUGAGGCCUUCAAGUUUGUAGAAAGGACUGAUGACAUUGGGUUCUGCAUCUCGUGUGCCAUCUGCCCUUGGUGCUGAGGGGCCAGGGUUGAAGUCUAACCCUAAAGUCUUCUUGUUUUGCUUCGCUGAGUUCUGGGCAAACUGGAAGUUGCGCUUGAACAGAUUGUCGUCACGACACCAUAGUAGUGACGAUGGGUGUGCAUCAGCAGGCUGUGGCCCACGGACCAUGCAGGGAUAGAAGCCUUAUUCAAUGGCUUCAUCUCUGGACCUGGGUAGAAGAUUCUUGUAUAGGAUGUCUCCCCACGGUCUCUUGAUGGCGUUUUUCUCAGCAUAUUCCCGGGUUACAAAUCGGUAUUUGAAUCAUUGUUCUGCCCAAUAUCUUCGAAUUCAUUGGAUUCGGGUCUUGCACUGAUUGUAAUCCUCUUCUGUGCUGCUAGGAACUCCAUCCCUUGAAGACUCUGAGUUCUCCUCCUCUGCUGCAACAGUGACUGCCAAAAUUAUCGAGGAUGAAGACGAUGCUACUUCACCGCCACCUCCUUCAGCACGCUUCAACUCUGCUCCAAGCUCUUCAGCACCGCCAAACACCACCAAUGACCCUGCUACUUCACCUACUCCUAGUGGGAACGAGUAGAUGCUCUAUGUCUUCGAACCUUUUUGGUCCUUACUGACAAAAGGGUGAGAAGCAUAUGAGGUUGAUAGUCUUCAAGCGGGUCCAUAUGGGCGGGUGCUUUAUAUUUUCCUUCGUGCUUACAACUCUUGUUUUGUUACAUUUGGUUCUUUGAGUUGUAACACUUAAACUCGAUGGUCGUCUGCUACUUAUCUGCCACCUUGCUUUGCGAUGAUAAAUUCCGCAUGUGCGACGAUAAAUUCCGCACUUAGAUCAUUCUGCAUACGUCCAUUUUCUAUUAUGCAUGUCAUUAUCUUCAUAUACUUUCACAUGCAUAGUGGAUUGUCAUCAUAAGUUGAAGUGGAUCUCCACAAGUACAACCUGCCAUGUGCAUUUGCAUUCCAAAAGCAAUUUACUUAUAUGCACAUCUUCAGGGGGAGCCCUUGCAAGUUAUGAAGACAAUUCCUUAUUCUUUACAAUUCCACAGAUUAUAUUCCCCGUUGAAAACUUCAACUAGUUUGUCAUCAAUCACCAAAAAGGGGGAGAUUGUAAGUGCAUCUAGUGCCACCUCUAGUUGGUUUUGGAGUAUUGACGACAAACCUAGUUGAGGGACUAAUAUGUUUGUGAGAAUUGCAGGAUAACACAGGUAGAAGUCCCUCAUUGAUUCGGUUUUCCUACCGGAGAUGACCCCUAAAAAUGUAUGAAGACAUUGAAGUCAAAGGUGGUAUAUGAAGAUAUUCACAUUGAAGACUAUGACAAGAGAAGACACCACAUGAAGCCUAUGAAGCUCGAAGACUCAGAUCUUUCGUAGUUCUUUUUCUUUUGUGUUGAGUCAUAGGAACCAAUGUACUGUUAAGUGGGGUCCAAGAGAACCAGUCAGAAUGACUGAAGUGAUGCCUAACCAUAACGUAUGUCUUCGAGUGAAGACUAUGAGAGCGAAACUUGUCCAGAGUCGGACAAGUCAGCUUUGCUUGUAGCCCAAGUAAAGUUGCCGUGUGAGUUUGAAAUCUAACCGUUGGAACACGUGUCAGUUCCUUAGUGACCCAGGGUCAUUUCGGACAAAUCAGGUCGGGUUGCCAAGUGGCUAUAAAUAGCCCACCCCCUACAACCAUAAACAGUUGGCUCCUCAGAUUCAGAGUACGGCUUUUGUCGUUUGAGAGCAACCCACCUCGAAGCCUUUGAGAGAGAAUUCCUUGCGAGGAUAAAGCCCUAACCACCCAGAGCCAAAGAGAAUUAGGCAUCACUUAAGUCUUCUUGACUGUGUGAUCUGAAGACUUAUUACACUUGAGGACUGUGCAUCCUCCAGCCGGUUAGGCGUCGCGUUCUGAGUAUCCAAGAGACAUUGUGGAUUGCCGGUGAACAAAGUCUGUGAAGGUUUGGGAGUCUACCUUGAAGACUUACCAGAGUGAUUGGGCGAGGUCUGUGUGACCUUAGCUCAAGGGGAAUACGGUGAGGACUGGGUGUCCUGAGCUGCGUGUUCAGGACUGGGUGUCCGGGACUGUGUGUCCUAAGGUUUAAAUACCUAGCCGCCCUAACCAGACAUACAGUUGUCACAGCAACUGGAACUGGUCCAACAAAUCAUUGUCUUCAAUGAGUCACUGGUUUCAUCUUCCCUUUACUUACUGUUACUCCUUGUGAAGUCAUUGUAUGUUUGCACUAUCUUUUGUCUUCACUGAGUGACUGUGUGUUUUGUCUGGCUUCAUAAUAUCCUCCUACCUGAUCCGUACUACAUUGCUGCUAUUAGUCAUUGUGCUUUCACUCUAUUGAAUACUUGACUAUGGCCUGCCUAGUGUAGUCUACCUUUCGCUGCAGGGUAUUAGGUUUAUUUGUAUCGUUUGUCUUCAUAACUCCAACGUUUUGAAGACUUUCAUAAAAAUCGCCUAUUCACCCCCCUCUAGUCGAUAUAACGCACUUUCAAGGAUUCUUUCUUCGGAGUCGGCUUCGGAGUCGAGGGAGAUCCAAUCGAGGAGGACGCGGCCGUCGCGGACGUUGCGGGUGCGCCGGCGGGACGUCUGGCGACGGUGCAGGGGACGCCCGCCGGCUUGGACAUCCGGCGGGGCACUAGAGGAGGAGGAAAAAACGACGGUCGGGACCAGGACGAAGGAGAAAUCGGCGGCGAAGGGGGCGAGGGCGCUGGCGAGCUCGGCGGAGGGGUGCGGCGCUUGAGCGGGGUGGAAUCCGACGGCGUCUAUGAAGCCGAGGAGGGGAGGCUGGUGCAGCCCGCGGAAGCAGCGGCGAAAGGCGCGGCCUUUAAUGACGCGGCGGAAGGUGGUGAAGGCGGUGAAGGCGAGGGCGAGCGCGUUGAGGGUGGGCAGGCGGAGGAAGAUCUCCUCCAGGAGCUCGUCUAGGACGGGGAUGGAGGCCGCCGGCGGCGCCGGCGGGUCCAUGGCGGCCGGGGUGGAGGAAGGGGAAAAGAAUUCUAUGAGACCAGGUCUCACGCGAGACCCAUCCUGAUGAAUGACAUGUGGCAUUCACAAAUCACAAAGUAUCCCCCACCCCCUACAUAAAAUCAGGGGGGAGAGAGAUUAGAUGCUUUGUGAUUUGUGAAUGCCACGUGUCAUCCAUCAGGAUGGGUCUCACCUGCUAAUCAUGAGACCUGGUUUCAUAUAAUUUUUUCCGGAGGAAGGGGAUCGAGGGUUUGGAUUGGGGAUAAAUCUUCGGCUGGGAGUGGGAGAGUGACUUUUUUUCUUUUGUGAACGAUAGAGAGGGGUCGAGAAGGACCCAGAUGCUCACGUGGUGGUACGUACUACUAGCAGAUUACAAAAAGUGCAAAAAACUAAAUAUAAAUACCAAACCGGUCCCCGACUUUCACAUAGAGGACCUUAACGACCGCAUUGAAAACACCACCGGGUCCCCAGAUUAUUUCUUUCUCUCAUAUAUGUAAUAUUGUCGUCGCUGGGGACUGCACCACUUGGACGGUGAGUCCUCCUCCAUGAAACCUUGGUCGCAGACUCCUUGAAGAUGAAACAUUGCCUCCCUUUUCGCUCCUUGCUCGGGAGGUAGAAGAAUAGCCGCCCCUCGGCCAUCGGAUUCGGAGGUAUGGUGGAGCCGGCAGGCAGCCAGGCGUCAUGGCUGGCGUUGUAGCCACUCCCAGCAGCCACCGGGUUCAGGCACGAACCCGAUCUCGACCUCCAUCUCUUCCCCGCUUCAACUACACCACAUCAAUGGCCUUCGAUGCGAGAAAGAGAACGGAGUACCUCAAGAGCAGUGAUCCAGGCGAGCUUAUUUGUAGAGUUACCUACGAUGAGCUCCACUGUAGUAGCCGGCUUCCUAUCAGCGGCCACAUGAUCUCCCCAGGGAGGUCGUCUCGGCCAUCGAGGUCAUCGGCAGCUCAAAUCGUGUCGGGGCUUUGAGAGUUUGGUGGCUAGGAUACUCAUAGGUGAGGCUCAUCAAUCGGGCCACAAACACCCAUUUGGGCCCCGAAGCAGUGAGGAUAGAAGAUGGCACGAAGCCACCUCAAUUGUUCCCAUUAAAAAAAUGCAACCUAGCUCGAUCCCCAAUUCUCAUGGCUGCGUCGGCGCCGGCCGAGCCACUGGUCCUGCGACUGUCCCUCCAUGCCGCCAUCCUCCUCCACCAACACCGACCCCAUCACCCCCCUACAAGCCAAGGUAGCCGCCCAAGCAUCGUCGAAGAGGUAGUAGGCACCGCCGGAUGAUGGAGGCAAGAAGAAGAGGAAGGAGAGGGCGACGCGGGCCACGCUCACGCCAGACCCCGCAGCUUCAGCUUCAUACUCCGCUACAUCCCCGGCCUUCAAACUCCGUGCCCGGCCUGACACCGAGCUGCAUGUGCUUGUCACAAAGAACGAUGAUUCCUCUUCGAUUAGGUAAUCAAUUUGUAGGCACUUUUCUGUUACUUGUUGAUGUUGCCCUUGUAGUGAAAUCGAGUCACCUAAUAAAAUAUGCAAAACAGAAAAUGGGAAAAUAAAUGCCUUGGAAUGUGAAAUGCAUUCAUUUUCUUUGCAUCGAUUGUGAUCCGCAAUACUAUCGAGUAGUUUACUGCAUAUAUGGCAUGUCAAGUCAAAUAUUCAGAGAUAUGCUUGUAGCUUGCAAGAAAAAUUGAGUGAAUCUUAUCACAGCCGUUCUUUGUGGCCAAAUUUUUGUUAGGAUUGGCGGUGCUUUCUCGAACCUUAACAUAAACCACCUUAUCCUCACUCAGAUUGUUGUGUGCAGUUACUGAAGGAAAUAUGUCGUAGAGACAAUAAUAAAGUUAUUAUUUAUUUCCUUAUAUCAUGGUAAAUGUUUAUUAUUCAUGCUAGAAUUGUAUUAACCGGAAACAUAAUACAUGUGUGAAUACACAGACAAACAGUAUGUCACUAGUAUACCUCUACUUGACUAGCUCGUUGAAUCAAAGAUGGUUAAGUUUCCUAGCCAUAGACAUGAGUUGUCAUUUGAUUAACGGGGUCACAUCAUUAGAAAAUGAUGUGAUUGACUUGACCCAUUCCGUUAGCAUAGCACUUGAUCGUUUAGUUUGUUGCUAUUGCUUUCUUCAUGACUUAUAUAUGUUCUUAUGACUAUGAGAUUAUGCAACUCCCGUUUACUGGAGGAACACUUUGUGUGCUACCAAACGUCACAACGUAACUGGGUGAUUAUAAAGGUGCUCUACAGGUGUCUUCAAAGGUACUUGUUGGGUUGGCGUAUUUCGAGAUUAGGAUUUGUCACUCUGAUUGUCGGAGAGGUAUCUCUGGGCCCACUCGGUAAUGCACAUCACUAUAAGCCUUGCAAGCAUUUCAACUAAUGAGUUAGUUGCCGGAUGAUGUGUUACGGAACGAGUAAAGAGACUUGCCGGUAACGAGAUUGAACUAGGUAUUGAGGUACCGAUGAUCGAAUCUCGGGCAAGUAACAUACCAAUGACAAAGGGAACAACAUAUGUUGUUAUGCGGUUUGACCGAUAAAGAUCUUCGUAGAAUAUGUGGGAGCCAAUAUGAGCAUCCAUGUUCCUCUAUUGGUUAUUGACCGGAGACGUGUCUCGGUCAUGUCUACAUAGUUCUCGAACCCGUAGGGUCCGCACGCUUAACGUUUCGAUGAUAGUUACAUUAUGAGUUUAUGUGUUUUGAUGUACCGAAGGAGUUCGGAGUCCCAGAUGAGAUCGGGGACAUGACGAGGAGUCUCGAAAUGGUCGAGACGUAAAGAUCGAUAUAUUGGACGACUAUAUUCGGACAUCGGAAAUGUUCCGAGUGAUUCGGGUAUUUAUUAGAGUACCGGAGAGUUAUGGGAAUUCUCCGGGGAGUAUAUGGGCCUUAUUGGGCCAUACGGAAAUAGAGGAGAGAGGCCAAAAGGAAGGAGGCGCGCGCCCCCCCUCUGGUCCGAAUUGAACAAGGGGUGCAACCCCCUUUUCCUUCUUCCUCUCCUCCUGUUUCCUUCUCUCCUACUCCAACAAGGAAAGGAGGAGUCCUACUCCCGGUGGGAGUAGGAUUCCCCCCUUGGUGCGCCCUCCUCCUAGGCCGGCCGCCUUCCUCCUUGCUCCUUUAUAUACGGGGGCAGGGGGGCACCCCAUAGACACAACAAUUGAUCAUUGAUUUCUUAGCCGUGUGCGGUGCCCCCCUCCACCAUAAUCCUCGAUAAUAUUGUAGCGGUGCUUAGGAGAAGCCCUGCGACGGUAGAACAUCAAGAUCGUCAUCACGCCGUUGUGUUCACAGAACUCUUCUACGACAUUCUGCUGGAUCAGAAUCUGGGGAUCGUCAUCGAGCUGAACGUGUGCUAGAACUCGGAGGUGCCGUAGUUUCGGUGCUUGAUCGGUCGGGCCGUGAAGACGUACGACUACAUCAACCGCGUUGUUAUAACACUUCCGCUUUCGGUUUACGAGGGUACGUGGACAACACUCUCCCCUCUCGUUGCUAUGCAUCACCAUGAUCUUGCGUGUGCGUAGGAAAUAUUUUUGAAAUUACUACGUUCCCCAACAGUUAGGUGAUCGAUUCUUGCAGAUGUUGGUUGCCGCCCUUUCACGUUUUUCAUUAUAGUUGUAUUGGGAUGAACUGUUCAAUUCCUGCAAGUCAACAUGAUAUGUGGACUCUUUUGUCCGCACAAAUGAGUAAGAACAAAAAAUAUUUGGAAAGUAGUACGUCUAUGGAUUUAUACAGAACUGCAUGUUUCACGUCAAAAUUCAAAAUAUGAACACAGACUAAAACCUGCCUACUAUUGCUUAAAUUACACACGUGCUUCUUCUGACCGCUUUUGGCUGCCUAAUUUGAAGUUUGUGUCUUGCUGUCAGGUGGAGGACCUUGGCGAUCUUCUCAAGCUUUACGAGGACUGGCACCCUCACUUGAUCCCUUAUACUCCUUCCGUAAAGAAACAUAAGAGCGUUUAGAUCACUAAAGUACUCAUUAGAGCAGUUUGCGUGCAAGGUUGAGAAAGUUGGGGCCAACAUCCGCGUUAGGCUAAGUUUCCUUCUUCCUUUCAGGGGUUCCUUCCAUUUUGUAAUGUGUGAUUGAUUAGUCUUUAUAGUAUGGUCAACUGAACUGAAACAUUGUUCUUAUUUCUUUCAGAGAUUCAUUUCUGAACUGAAACAUUGUCCUUAUUUCUUUCAGAGAUGGAUUUCUGAACUGACACGAGGUUGCUAGAGGGGGACAUCCUACAUAACUGCAUGAACCGCCAGUGGAAGAAGAGUCAUACCAGAGGGAGAACAUUAUCUGAGAACUUUGUUUUCUUUACAGUGCACACGAAGUAAAUCUUUAGGCAUUUUAUUUAGAAGUGCACGUUCCUGGACCCCCAAUCUGUAUUUCAAACAUUGCAAUUGUAGCAAUUGUUCAUUAUUAUCCGUUGCAGAUGGAACCACACAGGAAGACCCGAUCCUUGGGACUGAACCUCCGUCGAUGGACUAUCAUGUCAUGGAGUUUGUGCAAGAAGAUAUAGAUCCACCAAUGGUGGGAAGUAACGACACGGACACCAUGCAAGAUGAUUUGCUGGCCGAAAUCUACCAAAACAAAUCUGACGUAAGUCAUACUGCACCAUGAUUAAUUAACUUGACAUAGCCGGCUCUAAGUAAACAUGCAUGUAUGUAUGAUGUCAUUCAUCUUCAUCUCAUCCAUGAAACACAAUGGAAGAUGCCUAAAAGACCGUGCGUAGACAUUCUGUGCACAUUGUUUGGACUUUGUAGGUCAAUAAAUGUUUUGCGAACCUGUGAUGUUCUGUUCACACAAUAGGAACCUGGAAUCAGACCUACUGAGGUUGGGGCACGCAUGGAGGCUAACCUGCUCAUUGCUCAAGGCUUUGAACAGGCGGCAGCACAGCGUGCUCGGGGUCCCAGUUGCAGCCUGCUACUGUAACUAAAACGUACUCUUUUCGUCCCAAAAUAAGUGACUCAACUUUGUAUUAAAUUUAGUGGGAGGUAGGAGCAAAGCAUGCAGGAUCCGAGCCACUUUGCCAUGGAUGUUAGGCUGCGCUUUCUUGAAGUGUUUGUUGAACCAGAGCUGGAAAAGGGAUGAAGCAUUUUUGUUCUCCUUGAUGAAGUUGGUGAUUUCUGUUUUGUUUGCUACAAGAGUUACUGGAAGCUGGUGCAGGUUUUGACCUUUACGGCCUGCUGUUGCUCUUGAUUGCGGCGUGUUACAGUAUAGCAUGAAAAACAAGAUGCUGGUGUUAUAUACCGUGGAAUAUCUUGUUACCCAAGGAGACACCAAUACGAAUGCAAAUGCACUCAUUUUCUUGUUUUUUACCCGGGAUUGCCGCACAUUGCCGAGGAGAUCGUCUGGAUGUGCAGGACAAUGGGAGAGAGCACCUUACCCACCAGUGCAUGCUCCGGAUCCACCAGUAUCGAUCAUCCUCAAUUCCUCAUCAAGUCAUCAUCCAGUAUCAGAGGUUGCGAUUCCACGGCCAUGAGACAUAGCCGCUCACAUAGUCACAAAAUAUUUCACGCCGGCACUGCUCGAUUGCACCGGCGACUCCCCAACCCUAAUCUCGGGAAGUCGAUCGGGGCCUCGUAGGGCCGCCGUGCACCCCCACAGCCAGGCUGGGAGGGAUGGUAGAUCGCCGUUGCCUCAUGUCCCAUCGUCCAGACAUGCGCGCAAAAGUAGGAUCACGACCGAUCACCACCAAAGGUGGGCAGCCAUGCAGCUCUGAUCUAGUACCGAGAGAGGAGGAUCAGAUGAGGGAACCAGCCAAUCCUUCUACGCUUGACCGAAUAUACCAAAUACUAGUAUACAUUAUUAAUUUCAUCAUAAAUUUUAUUUUAUAAAACUAUAUUUACUGCUUUUGAUAAAUAAUAGAGGGCAUUUGGUCUAGUGGUAGGAUUCUCGCUUAGGGUGCGAGAGGUCCCGAGUUCAAUUCUCGGAAUGCCCCUCUUUUUUCUUUUUUUUUAAACAUUUUCCUUUUACCGUUUUACCAUGUAUAUCUAGUAGAACUUCUUUCAUGUAGCCACCGAAGUAUGACAUGAAAACCAAUCGAUCUGUGCGAAGUAGCAUCGUACCUGUUAGAUGUAUAUAGUCCAUUGUGUGCAUCUCCAUUAUAUAAGGAGCUUUUCUGUACUUUACCACAUCUGUAUAUGUAUUGGUCAUUGGCCCUCAGUAAAGUUUAGUUGCUCAUUCCUAACAUGGUAUCAAAUGCUUAGGUUCCCCUCGCUCUCCUGCACGCUGCAACUCCGUACUCCUCUGCUCGAUUCUGGCCGCCGCCGUCGCUCUCAUCCCGUCCGGAUCCGCUGCUCCGGCUGUCCCGUUCGGCCUCGUCUCCCCCGUCUGACGUAUCUUGGCCCGCGCCAAGGCAGCGCUUCUCCAUCCCCCGAGUGAGCAAGCUCCUGCCGGCUGGCCGCGGGAGCGCCUCCUCUGCUCAAUCCCACCUCGGGAGCGCCUCCUCUGCUCGCUCCCGUCUGGCUCGCGCGCUCCUCUUCACCUCGCGCAGUGCCUGUGCGCUCCUCGUCCUCUCGCUUCGGGCCGCGUGCUCGUCCUCCUCUUAAGCCGGGCUGCGCGUUCCCCGUUCGCCUGGCUGCAUCGGGGAGUCGUCCCUGUCUCUCGCGCUUCCUGGCCGCGGCCGCUUUCUGUGGCCUCGCUCGCUUCCUGGCUUGAGAUCCCCUCGAUCUAGAUCGAGUUCAGGAUCCGUUGACCAAAAAAAUAAAGACAGCAAGAUAUCUCAGUAUGUCAUCUUCGGGCUAUGUGGAUGUUCCUCGCUGCUCGGUGAUCUUUGAUGGCACCAACUAUGCUGAGUUUAUGGGCUUCAUGCGUAUCCAUAUGCGCGGUCUUCUGCUGUGGGGCGUACUCUCUGGCGAGGUAGCUUGUCCGCCCUGUCCCGUUGCUCUCGGUGGCUCCUGUUCCGCCGGUUCCGCCGGUGCUUGCUGCUGAUGCCUCUCAGGCUGAUCAUGAUGCAGCCAAGGCCCUUGAUGACACCGCAGUUGAUGCUUAUGAUCAGCAGGUAUCUGCAUAUUCUGAUCCUCUUUCUGUCUAUCGGGAUGAUCUGUCUGCUUACACUCAGUGGUGCAAUGAUGAUGCUCGAGCUGUUGCCGUUCUCACUGCGAGUGUCCUUCCUCAGUUUGCUUCCAAGUUCAUGGGCCUUGGUACUGUUGCAGCGAUGUGGUCCUACCUCUGUCAGCGCUAUCAGCCCUCUGGCGAUGCCCUAUACCUCUCUGUGGUGCGUCAGGAGCAUGCUCUCCAGCAGGGUGAUUCGCCUGUUGAUGAGUUCUACUCACAGUGUUCUGCCAUCUGGCGUCAGCUUGACUCACUAAGGACAGUUGUUUGUGGAACCUGCCGUUGUUGUCAGACUACGCGGUCUAACUUGGAGUUUCAGCGGGUCCAUGAGUUUUUAUCUCGUCUCCGCUCUGAGUUUGAGCCCAGACGUGCUCACUUGCUUGCUCGUGGUCGUGUUCCUAUCUCGGAGGUGCUUGCCGAGCUUCGUGCUGAGGAGACUCGCCUUCGCUCUGCUGGUCUGCUGGUGGUCCCGUCUGUAUUGGCUGCUCGGGCUCCAGUGUCGUCCGCUCGGCUCACUGCUCCCCCGCUCCUACCCACGCCUUCAGGGGGGUCGUCCUGCUUAUGCUGAGAAGGGCCGGUCGCGACGUGACACCUUCUGCGGCUACUGCUCUCGGCCAGGUCAUCCCGAGUCUGAUUCCCGUGAGAAGAAGCGAGACCAGAGGCGCUCCUCUUCCAGUGGGACUCCUGGAUCUUUCUCGACUGCGUCACUCACCGGCCAGGACAUUGUGAGGCUCAAGCGUCUCUUGGCUUCCUCAGGCUCUUUGUCGACUGGUUUCGCUGCUGCUGUAACUGUAUCUACCUCUCCAUCACCGCAGGCACCUACUCAGUCAGGUACAUCUUCGUGGGUUCUGGAUUCUGGAGCCUCCUUUCAUGUCUUCUAAUUCCUCUGUGCUGUCUUCCCUUCGACCUCUUGAUUCGCCCGUUCUUACUGCCGAUGGCACACCUCUUCCUGUUACUAGUUGUGGUCUUCUUUUCACUCCAUCUUUUUCUGUUCCUAGUCUUUCAUAUGUUCCUCGCCUUACCAUGAAUCUUUUUUCUGCUGCCCAACUUACUGAUUCUGGUUGUCGUGUCAUUCUUGAUAUCGACUCUUGCUCCAUUCAGGAUCGUCGCACCAAGACUUUGGUUGGUGCUGGCCCCCGGCGCCGUGAGUCCGAGGGCCUUUGGGAGGUUGACUGGCUUUGUGUUCCUUCCGCUGUCACCACUUCUGUCAGCUCCCAUGCUCUUGCUGCCUCUUCGACUGCGUCCUUCCAGCAGUGGCAUCAUCGCCUUGGUCACAUCUGUGGCUCUCGCUUGUCUUCUUUAGUUCGUCAGGGCCUCUUAGGGUCUGUAUCUGGAGAUGUCUCCUUACAUUGUAAUGGUUGCAGAUUGGGCAAACAGACGCAGUUACCUUAUCCUACUAGUGAGUCUGUAUCUCAGCGUCCUUUUGACUUAGUUCAUUCUGAUGUCUGGGGUCCUGCUCCCUUUGAUUCGAAGUGUGGUCAUCGUUACUAUGUUUUGUUUAUUGAUGAUUUCUCUCGCUACACUUGGCUCUACUUCAUGAAAUCUCGUAGCGAGAUUCUCCCUAUAUACAAACGUUUUGCUGCCAUGGUUCACACCCAGUUUGCCACGCCCAUUCGUAUUUUUCAUGCUGACUCCGCUGGAGAGUAUAUCUCUCAGCUGUUGCGUGGUUUUCUCGCGGAACAGGGUACUCUUGCCCAAUUCUCAUGUCCUGGCGCUCAUGCUCAAAAUGGCGUUGCAGAACGAAAGCAUCAUCAUUUGCUUAAGAUGGCUCGUGCGCUGAUGAUUGCUGCUUCCCUUCCACCCCAUUUUUGGGCUGAGUCUGUUUCUGAAUCCACCAAUCUUAUCAACAUUCAGCCAUCGACUGCUCUGUAGGGUGGUAUUCCUCUAGAGUGUCUCACUGGUUGCUCUCCUGACUACUCAGCUCUUCGUAUGUUUGGAUGUGUGUGCUAUGUUCUUCUUGCCCCUCGAGAACGCACCAAACUGACUUCUCAGUCGGUUGAGUGUGUUUUCCUUGGCUACAGUGAUGAGCACAAGGGCUAUCGAUGUCGGGAUCCAGUGGGUCGUCGUUUGUGCAUCUCACGUGAUGUGACAUUUGAUGAGUCUCGUUCUUACUACCCACAUCCUUCUUCCUCGAGUUUGUCUGUGGACGACAUUUCUUUUCUUCUUCUUCUUCCCAAUACACCCUGCUAUGUGCCUCAUGUGUCACCUCCUCCUCUGGCACCUCUCAUUCCUUCUCACUCACCAUCGCCACCAUCCUCCUCCUCCACCUCUCCGCCAUCAUCUCCCGUUCGUCACCCUCUCUCACUGUUUCCUCUUCACUAUACUCGUCGCUCUCGUACUGAGGAUGUCUCCUCUGACGAGCCUUCCACCUCUGGUUCACCUCUAACACCCCCACGGUUCACAACCUCCGUGCUCGGCCUCGCCCCCCGCCUGAUCGCUACUCCCCUGAUCGGUACGGUCUCUCUGCUAUUGCCGAGCCCACUUCCUAUCGGACUGCCCUGACUCAGCCUGAAUGGCAGCUUGCGAUGGCCGAAGAACUUGCUGCCCUUGAGCGCUCUGGCAUCUGGGAUCUGGUUCCCCUUCCUUCCGGUGUCCGUCCUAUCACCUGCAAGUGGGUCUACAAGAUUAAGACUCGCUCCGAUGGUUCUCUUGAGCGCUACAAAGCUCGUCAUGUGGCCCGUGGUUUCCAGCAGGAGCAGGGGCGCGAUUAUGAUGAGACAUUUGCUCAUGUGGCUCACAUGACCACUGUCCGCACUCUUCUUGUUGUGGCUUCUGUUCGUCAGUGGUCUAUCUCUCAACUUGAUGUCCAGAACGCUUUUCUCAAUGGCGAGUUGCGUGAGGAGGUUUAUAUGCAGCCACCACCGGGGUACUAUGCCCCUGAUGGUAUGGUAUGUAGACUUCGGCGCUCCCUCUAUGGUCUUAAACAGCCCCCUCGCGCCUGGUUUGAGCGCUUUGCCUCUGUCACUACUAGAAAAAGGGCUAUAGAUGGGAUUGGCACUAAUGGCGCACCACCUUCUGAUGCGCCAUUAGUGUUGAAACUACUAAUGGCGCACCUGGCCCACGGUGCGCCAUUAGUAUCAAAUUUUUUUUGAACUAGUGCGCCUGUCCAAACAUACUAAUGGUGCAUCCAUAGGAAGUGCGCCAUUACUAGUUGUAACUAGUAAUGGCGCACCAGUCAGAAAGUGCGCCACUAAUGUUGUUUUUAUUAUUAUUAUUUUUAUUCCUUUUUCUGCAAAACUACUAAUGGCGCACUCACCCGCGGUGCGCCAUUACUAGUUUAAACUAGUAAUGGCGCACCGUGUGGGAGUGCGCCAUUAGUAUCUUUUUUUUUGCAAAACUACUAAUGGCGCACCACCAGGUGGUGCGCCAUUAGUAGCCUUGAUUACUAAUGGCGCAUUUCUGGUUGGUGCGCCAUUAGUAAGUGGGCAGCAACAAGAUAUUUUGGACAGCCUCUCCUCCCACACUCACUUUCUCCCCACUUUAUUCUCUCCACCGCCUCCUCCUUGUCUCGGGUGCCUCCUCUUUUUUACCUCAUUUCCACCAUAGAUUCAUUCAAAUUAAGUGGUUAAGUUACCUUGUUUUGGUAGGUAAGUAAGGGGGGAAGCUAUAUUUAUGUUGUUCUCCCUACAACAAUGUGCACAUGCGCUUUUUAUGGCCUAGCUAGAUCUAUGUAUGUUCGUGGUGUUGCAUAUGUUUGUGGUGUUGCAUAUGUGUUUGUGUUUGGAGGUGUACCGGUAUUUGAAAUGCGAUAGUUGCCAAUAUUUUGCCGGAAUGUUGAUUCAUUUCCGUUUCGGCGAGAAUUUUGGCAUUAAGCAUUCUUUUUGGUCCUAUUUUUAGGGAAAGUCAUGCCAAAUUUUUUCUUGGUUCUAAAGUAUCGUUUUGCUCUACCCCGCAGGCGACCAUGGUCCGCAUGAUGAUCGAAGGCAUCGUGAAUAGGUUUUUGAGGUCCGCGAAGGCCGAGAUGCUUCAAAAGAACGAGACGGAGAUAAGAUGUCCGUGUCGAAGAUGUAGGCUGAAGAGCCUUAUUGCGGACCCGGAUUCCGAGCAGGUGCGGGACCACCUGCUCUUGCGUGGUUUCAUGGAUGGCUAUCGGUGGCAAGGUGAUGAAGAUGACUACGAAGUCGUCCAUGGGGGCCGGGCAAGAAAUGAGGAAGGGCAGCAAGACAACCACCGCGGCUCGGGCGGGCGAGAAGACGAAGAAUCCCCAGGAGAUAAUCACGACGGUGAUGAUGUACACAGUCAUCAUGUAGAAGAUGCAGGACAUGAUGAUGAUGCCGGCGGAGCAGACGACGCUGGACCAUCGAUGGGCUGGGUGCAGGACCCUCAUAUUCAAGAGCUGCUUCUCAAGCAGACGGAUAACGCAAGAGCUGCCGCCCGAGAGAAAGCCAAGAUGGAUCAACUUGAGUUAGAAGCGGUUACUCCAUUGUAUGAAGGAUGCAGGCCCGAGGAUACCCGCCUAAAAGUAACGCUCAUGGCUCUGGAGAUGAAGGUAAAACACAAAAUGACCGACGCAUGCUUCGACGAGAACAUGUCAUUCUGGCACGAACGUCUUCCCAAGGGGAACAAGUGCCCGACCACUUCGGAGGAGGCGAAGAAAAUCGUGUGUCCUCUGGAUUUACCGCACGUGAAAUACCAUGUGUGCAUGAACAAUUGCAUCAUUUAUCGGGACGAGCAUGCGGAGUCUACCAUAUGUCCGGUGUGCGGUGUCACUCGAUACAAGAAGAGGAAGAAAGCUCCUCGAAAAGUGGUGUGGUACUUUCCGAUCACUCCUCGUCUGCAGCGGUAUUUCGCGGACCCUAAGGUAGCAAAGCUCCUGCGUUGGCACGCGGAUAGGGAGGAGAAGAAGCGAGAAGAUGACGCAAAUGAUCCGGAGAUAGAUAAAAAAUACAAGAUGCUGAGUCACCCUAAGGAUGCGAGCCAGUGGCAAGCGUUGAACUUCAAAUACCCAGAAUUUGGGAACGAUCCAAGGAACAUCGUGCUGGGCGCGAGCACCGAUGGAGUCAAUCCGUUUGGCAGCCAGAGAAGCACACAUAGCACCUGGCUUGUGUUUGUGUGGAUGUACAACCUUCCCCCCUGGUUGUGCAUGAAGAGGAAGUACAUUCACCUGAGUAUGCUAAUUGAAGGGCCGAAACAACCAGGAAACGACAUCAAUCUGUAUCUGGGGCUGCUGAAAGAGGAGCUUGACACGCUGUGGAAAACGCCAGCCAAUACGUGGGACGCCGCAAAGAAAGAAUAUUUCCCUAUGAGAGCCGCACUGCUCACGACGGUGCACGACUAUCUCGGUUACGGAUAUCUUGCGGGGCAGGUAGUCCACGGAUUUUCUGGAUGCGUAAGGUGCAUGGAUGACACAAUGUAUCGCCAGCUAGAUAGAGAUCCCGGGUCUUCGAAAACCGUGUUCAUGGGACAUCGAAGGUGGCUUCGCGAUGAUGACCCGUGGAGGAAAUGCAAGGAUCUGUUCGAUGGUGAAACCGAACCCCGAAAACGCCCGUGUACGAGGAGCGGCAAGGAAAUAGACAAGCUAUUGAAAAAUUGGAAAGACCGCCCACUGCCGGGAAAGAAGCAAAAGGCGCCAGAGCCGAGAAAGAAGCGAAAGGCGCCAGAGCCGCUGCUGAAGGUAUGGAAAACGAGGUCUGUUUUCUGGGACUUGCCGUACUGGAAGAUCCACCGUGUGCCUCACAGCCUUGAUGUCAUGCAUAUCACGAAGAACGUGUGCGAGAGUCUGCUUGGUACCCUGCUCAACAUGCCAGAGAGGACCAAAGAUGGGCCGAAAGCAAGGGCAGACUUGAAGUCAAUGGGCAUCAGGCAGGAGCUUCACGCUAUAUAUGAUGAUGAUGCUGAUGCUGAUGAUGAUGAUGAGGCGAAGCAGGACACAGAAAGUCGUCGCAACGGCAAAAAGGCCAAGAAGACCGGAAAUGACUACCCUCCCGCGUGCUUCACUCUAAGUCAGGAGGAGAUCGAUCAGUUUUUCACCUGCCUGCUAGGAGUAAAACUUCCUUACGGUUACGCGGGGAAGAUAAGCAGAUACCUAGACCCAGCGAAGCAGAAGUUCAGCGGGAUGAAGUCUCACGACUGUCACGUGCUGAUGACGCAGAUACUUCCAGUUGCAAUCCGUGGGAUCAUGGACGCGCACGUCCGUGAAACGCUAUUUGGCCUAUGCAACUUCUUCGAUGUCAUCUCUCGGAAGUCGAUUGGCGUGAGGCAACUCAGAAGGCGACAGGAAGAGAUCGUGGUGAUACUAUGCGAGCUUGAGAUGUACUUCCCGCCCGCAUUCUUCGACGUUAUGGUGCAUCUGCUGGUCCAUAUAGUGGAGCAUAUCAUCCAACUCGGACCGACGUUCCUGCACAGCAUGAUGCCGUUUGAAAGGAUGAAUGGUGUCAUCAAAGGAUACGUUCGCAACAUGUCACGUCCAGAAGGAAGCAUAGCCAGGGGCUUUCUGACCGAAGAGUGCAUCUCCUACUGCACGAAUUAUCUAGGCAUCGAGAACCCCGUUGGUCUGCCCAUCAACAGGCACCUCGGCAGGCUCGCUGGAUGGGGUCACCGUGAGGGUCGCCGCGAAAUGCAUGUCGACUUCGAGGGUCGACUCGCCGACUUUGAAAGAGCAAACCUAGUCGCGCUACAACACAUAGACAUGGUCGAUCCUUGGGUGGUAGAGCACAAAACCUUUAUUAAGAAGACGUACAAUGACCGAGGCCAACAGAGGACGGACGGAGAUAUACUCAAAGAGCACAACUCAUGUUUCACGCGUUGGUUCAAGCAGAAGCUUCUGUCGUACCCUUUACAUGAGGAUUCUUCCGCGGAAGAACAACUCAUAUUCGCCUUGUCACAGGGCGCCGAGCACAACCUGAUGACCUAUGAGGCAUACGAUAUCAACGGCUACAUAUUCUACACCGAGGCCAAGGACAUGAAGAGCGAUGGUUAUCAGAACUCCGGGGUAACGAUGGAAUCCUACACCGGUAACGACAAGGACAGAUACUACGGAAGGAUCGAGGAGAUCUGGGAGCUGAGCUACGCUGGAGAGAAGGUCCCGAUGUUCCAUGUCAGAUGGGCCAAGAACGUCAUAAAAGAAGACCGGUAUUUCACCACCAUGGUUAUACUCGAAGCCAAAUCCAAGACCGCGGGCGAAAACGUCACCGCGAAAAAUGAGCCAUGGGUACUGGCUUCCCAAGUGGACCAAUGCUUCUUCAUUACCGACCCGCCAAAGCCCAGUCGUGUUGUCGUGAGGAGAGGCAAAAGGAAGAUCAUCGGAAUGGAUGGAGUAGCCAAUGAGCAAGACUUUGACAAGUACGGCGACCCGAGGAUCGAACAUGACGACGAUGAUGAAGUAGCAGCAUACACCACAAGAAGAAGCAGGACCACCCUACCUAAAGGACGUCCGUUCCAUAGAAGAACUCCAUUUGCGAAAAAGAAGGGCAAGAAGAUUGUGAACAGAUAGCUAGCUAAGAUCGAUGAUAUUUUUUAAAAAAUUAUUACUGUCUUAUAAAAAAAUUAUUACUGUCUUAUAAAACAAGUUUGAACAUAUUUAAACACAAAUAAGUAUCAAACAACAUUUUAAAUGCAUAAAAAAAAUUGUGGACCCCCCGCACCCCUCCCCUNNNNNNNNNNNNNNNNNNNNNNNNNNNNNNNNNNNNNNNNNNNNNNNNNNNNNNNNNNNNNNNNNNNNNNNNNNNNNNNNNNNNNNNNNNNNNNNNNNNNNNNNNNNNNNNNNNNNNNNNNNNNNNNNNNNNNNNNNNNNNNNNNNNNNNNNNNNNNNNNNNNNNNNNNNNNNNNNNNNNNNNNNNNNNNNCUCCCCCGCUCCACCGGCAUUACUGUUUGAUGAUAUUUUUAAAAAAAUUAUUACUGUCUUAUAAAAAAAUUAUUACUGUCUUAUAAAACAAGUUUGAACAUAUUUAAACACAAAUAAGUAUCAAACAACAUUUUAAAUGCAUAAAAAAAAUUGUGGAGCCUGGGAAUCGUACCCAGGACCUCCUGGUGUGAGAACUAGCUGCUGACCAGUCGAGCUAGUAGAGAAGACUUGACGUGUAUCAGGUCAGGUGGUAGAUAACUGUUGGCUCGAGCAGAAAAAAAAUACUAAUGGCGCACCAGGGUGAGGUGCGCCAUUAGCAUGUAUGUACUUAUGGCGCACCGAGGGGUGGUGCGCCAUUAGUAUUGUGCGCCCCUACUUCGUACCGAUCCCCUCUCUCUCCCUCGCCCGCGAUCCCCUUCCCCGAUCUCCUCUCCCGACGCCACCGUCGCCCCGCCCCGACACCACCGUCGCCCCGCCGCCCUCGACGCCACCGUCGCCCCGCCGCCCCAGCGCCGCCCCGACACCACCGUCGCCCCGCCGCCCCGACACCACCAUUCGUCGCCCCGCCGCCCCGAACCAGGGAGCGGAAGCGCGGCCUCCGCCGUCGUAGCAGAAGCAGCGAUCCCCAUCGCCAGCAGCCCAAGAAAGGUUCCCCUCCCCUUCCUCCCUCCCUCCCUCCCCUACGCCUCCUCACGCGUGGCUCUACGGAUCGGUGAUCUUUAUCGUUUCGUUUUUGUGCUGGAUCGAUUUAGUUGUUGUGAUUGAUUUCGUUGAUAGUUUAGUUCCCGAUAUCUCUAGUCCGGUUGAUUAUCACAAUGUUGAUUAUCACAAUGUUGAAAACUUAUCACAAUGUUGCUGUGAUAUUUAGUUGCUGUGAUUGAUUUCAUUGUUGAUUAUCACAAUGUUGAAAACUUAUCUACUUUUUGCCCCCUACAGCAAGCAAUAAAGUAAUUCUAUUAGUCGUCCAUUGAGAUAUAUAUGAGUUAUUACAAUGUGAGAAGAACAAUUCUCAAACUAUAAAUUUUAUUAAAAAUGAAAAAUGAAACAUAAACGGGUUUGCAUAUAAUAAGUCUGGACAGAUCAAUUUCCAUAUUUAUUUUAUUCCAGUAUAUUUUCUCAUAUACAACCAAAGUUUUUUUGCGAGGUAUAACAAAAGUUUCUUUUCUUAUUUCCAGCCCCCUUCAAUAUUUUUCAGAAAGGAAAUGUUCAUCGCUGUGUUCCAUGGUCGAGACUAUCUCGCUUCUUUUUCUCCAUCCAAAAACUCUCUAAUCAUUCCAUCAGAUAUGCAUAUGCGCUAACCACCAUUGAAUACUUCUCAAGCCAUCCCCAAGUAGUAUCUUAUAGUACAGCCAACUCUAAGAACUGUCCCAAAAGGCCAAAACAUCACCUCGUUCCUUGCCAACGUGAUUAGUGUGCACGCUGCCGCAUACUGCCUGUCUAUUUGUAUGCUCGGUUCGGCCUGCUACACACACAAAUGCACAACAGUAGCAAGCAGGUGAACUUUUCUUGUUUGUAGAUGGUUCUGGAAAACAGCAGAAUCUUUACUAUACUGCAGAUGCAUUGUAGCCGGCACUGUAGAUGCGAAUCCCAACAUUUUGGACCAUUCGAUGGACUAUAUCAACGGUUCAGAUUCUUUCCUAUCAUUGAGAUUCAAAUCUUCAAAACUCGUACACUAUAUAGUAAUAUAGAUAUGCUGGUCCUUGCUCAAGAUUUGUAUAGAGGAGGAAUUGAAACAUACUGUGUUUAAAUAAAACAUGAUAUAGUUGGAGCCAGAGCCCUAUAUGGACCUUACUGGUUCUUGCUGAAGAUUUAUUGUACUUUCUACUAACGGUAUAACUUUUGUGAUAUGUAUUGUUAUGUUGGUAAAAUAGACAACCUAGAUUUACACGCAGGAUCUCUAAUCCAGAGAGGAGGGAGUAUAAGAUAGCAAAUUUACUUGCAAUAAAACAGGGGCUGUUAAUUGUAGUUUUGUUUUGGUCUGCAAUUGCAUAUACGGACAUUUAUUUAAUUACCACAAGAUCUAAACCAGGAUAAGAGCAAAGAGUAAUCAGAUCUGAACUGAAACUAGCUAGGAGCAGAGCACAUUUGUGUAGAAGCAGAGUGCAUGAAAUAUGGGGCUUUUCUGGAUGCUGCUGUUCUUGGUAGGAUGAACAAGUGGCACCUUGUAGGGUCUUGAUUGGUUAUGUUGCAAACUGAAUAUCUAGCUGCUAGGACCCAGUUUCCAAUCUAGUCUGUAGUAGUGACAUGCUAGUUUAGCACAUACUGCUUGUAGUGGGUAGUAGUGGAAUGCUAUUUUAGAUGGUCUAUUACUAUGUAGGACCUUAAUUGGUGGAGUCUCAACGCUGAACUGGGUAGUAGUUAGGAGUCAAUUUCUUUAAUCCUAGUGUAGCUGCUCUCUUAAUACUUGUCUGUAGGUUCUUAAUUGUUGGUGUCUCAAAAACUGAAUAUGUUUUCAUAGCAUAACUUGAGGGAUAGUUUGUUUAGUAAAGUGCGAAUUUAGCUAUCCCUUACUAUAUAGAUGAUUGAUCUUUGUCGAAAAAUAUGUGGAUGAUUGAUAGUACGCUUCCUGUUUCUGCACACAGUGCACUCUGUUAUGAACUAUAUGUAUGCUGCACUUUCUUCGUCCGAGUGCAUCGAUGUAGACGUUUUCCUGCUUGUUGUUGGGAGUGAAAAUAAGAACCUCUUCUCCCUGGUUAGCAGUAAAUACUGCAUGCGCAAUGCCUGCUGUUUUCUCUUCUGAAAUUUAUGAAUGUCAGUGGAUCAACAUCUAUGUGCCAUAAAUUGCAUUUUCCCUUUUUGCUGCUAGUGCCCAUUUUGAGUAAUGGCUUAGAGGGAUGAUCCUGUGUGAGCUGGUGGAGUGAUUUGUUUUCUACAUAAAGCUCUUUAGUCAGGCUGGUUUUCGUGAAAUACACAUGAAGCUUCACCAGCUCCUGUGGGUGUGGGAUCCAUGUGACAUGUGACAUUGCAUCCAUGUCCACCUGGGAUAAUGAUUUUGCACGUACCCCGAGAGGCCCUUGAGUUUGCUGGAAUGUCGAUUAACUUCCGUUCCGGCAAAUUCGGGUACUCCAUAUGUCCUAUUUUCAGCAAAGGUCAUGCUGAAAUUUUCCAUGAAUUUUAGCAUGACUUUGCUAAAAAUAGGACAUAUGGGGUACUUGUGACUAAUGCAUGGGCCGGGGUAUCGUAGUAGUUAAUUAAGUAGGAUCAAGUGCCCCGGCAUACUUGUGACUAAUGCCUAAAUGAUAAAACCGAAAUGAUGAAAGCUUAGGCUUUUAGGGUGCCUCGGCGUCGAAAAACCCUCAAUGAUAAAAGCUUAGAUUUUAGGAUGCCUCGGUGUCGACAAACCUUAAAUGAUGAGACCAUGAUCUUGUUCCUUGACAAUAACCAACUUUUUGACCAAACUUUGUUUCUAUUUAGAGAGAAACAUGGCCCACAACGAUGAGGACGGGGGUUCGGGCGGCAAGGCAUUCUAGGAGCUGUCCCAGGAGAUGGAGGAACAACCUCACUUGUAUGAGGCCGCCGCCUUCCCCACCGAUCCUGAGACCACUGAUGGUGCCGCCGAGGAUGACCACACUGAUGCCACCACUGAUGGUGCCGCCGAGGAUGCCACCACUGAUGAUGGCGGCACACGCACAGAUGGCAGCCAACCGAAGAGGCAACGGAAGGACCGGCGCCUGACCGUGCUCCGCACCCUCAAGGAGGAAGUUACUGAAGUGGACUCCAACGGGAAUCCAAUGGCGCCCGAACGAAUAGUCAAGGGGUACUCGCUUCAGCUCGGGUGCAUUGUCCGGAGCACCGUCUCGAUCAACACCGAGAACCUGAGGCAUCCUGACAGAGAGAAUUUGCGCAACCUCCUCUUCACGAAGCUGCACGAACGAUACAAGUUCCCCGCUGAAUUUGCAAACACAAGCCUCAAAGGGAAUAAAGUGAACAAUGCUGCCCUCACGAAGAUGAGCAAGGCCCUGUCUACUUGGAAAAGCAAUGUGAAGAGAAUGAUCGAGAAAGGUGAGAGUUAUCAGAAGAUCAAGGAGAAAAAUCCUUCGAUCACCGAAGAUGACUACAACGACUUCAAGAUCAAUUGCUCGAGCACCGCAAACUCCCAAUCAAGUGAGUGGGGGAAACAAAUGCGGGAACUGAACAUAGGGGAACACACACUCGGUCCCGGCGGUUACAGAGUGGCGGAGCCUAUAUGGGACAAGGAGGAGGCGGACCGUGCCGAGCAAGGCCUACCGCCCCUCUUCGAUAAAUACGGUGACAAGCAGACCAUGAACUUUGUCAGGGCCCGGUACAAGAAGGACCCGAAAACAAAGGAGCUUACCACGGAUCCGAAGACCAGGCAGCUUGAGCUUGUUCUGGUAAGGAAUACACCCCCGCGUAAUUAGCUCCAUAUGGUUGCAUUCUAAUUAAUGAAGCCAAAUUUCUAAAUGGUUCACAUUCCUUCCGCAGGCGACUGAAAGCAGUAGCACGGGGUCGACUAAGAGCAACCCUUGGGACACCACUCUAAAUAGGGGGUUGAAUGUAAUGAAGAACAAGGAUAAGCUCAGUAAGCCGACGUCAGUUGGUCGUGUGGCCGGCAAAGGCUUGUCGACAAAAUGGGGGUCAUACUAUACCGCUGGUGUGCGGAAGGAGAAAAAGACCAGCUCGGAAAGCCAGGCGCGAGAGGUUCAAGAACUCAAGGCACAGGUGGCGCGGAUUCCGGAGAUUGUCCAAGAGCAAGUGGAACAACGAUUCGGAGCGACGAUCACCGCCAUUGUGCCUACCUUGAUCUCGGGGUUGAGUGCGUGGAUUGCGGGCGGCCAACAGGGGCCGCCCCCGAUUCCUAGCUUCACGGCUAGCAACUCGCAUAAUGCGAUGGCGGGGCCAUUGGUGCCUCCAGCGGAGGCGGCAUUGGUGUCUCCGACGCCGGCACGGGAGCUUAAUGCACCCGGGUGUACACCGGCCGGCACCUCUGCAGCAAGCGGCCCCUUCGUCAACUGCACGCCCGCCGUUGGCGGUGCCUCUACAUUAGCCGAGCUCGAGCCAUCAUCACGGUAACUAAUUAAGCCUCUCUCGGCCGAGGACUUCAUCUCCUUGCCUUUGACUGGGCAUCCCUGACGCCCUACAUGUUUUCGCAGGGCGCCGCCGACGUUCCGUGCACUCUCCUCCACUUAGUGAACAACGAGUUGGUCGAUGUCGCCAAGGGCAAAAUAGUUCAACCGGGCAACCCCUUGUUCCACGGUACCCAGAUGCCACCCAACUUGUUUAGGGUUCAAUUGGUUCGGGUGCUGCCAGGCUGCGACGAGUUGUUACCUCCGAUUCGACCCAUCGGGGCCGACGAUGAUGAUGUGAUGACCCUCAGCGCAUGCUUGAGCUGGCCCCUGCUUUGGCCGAAGAGCCAGAUUCGUUUGGGGGCGGGGGACACCACCCCAAAGACAACAUCGCCAGUCGUGCCGGCGCCAAGUCGGCCCCAUGGCAAGACCGCCGCAACGGUGCCGGACAUCCCUAUGCCACUGGAUCCAAACAUGCAUAUGGCACAGGAUCAGAACGACGACGACGACGACGAUGAUACAUUUCGCAACGUCGAUCAGUACUUUGCCAAUCAUGGGUACGAUGGCGACUUCAUGGGGCCUCCUUCUCAAGAACCAAACCCAACAAAAGACGUGUGCGAUCUAGCUGGUACCGCGGAGAAGCCAAGUUGCAACAGGCGUCGUCUGGCGUUCAGCUCUCAGGAGACGCCUCCAGCUGCCGACUUCACCGAGCCUCAGAUAGGCGAGGUGCGAAAUAUUAUCAGCCCCAACACACUCAAGAAGGCGGUCUGUGAGCAAAACUCGGUCCCAUUACAGGAGAAGAAGGCACGCAAAAGAAAGACUAAGAAGGGUGCGAGCCAGCCGGCACAGAGUACGAUCCGUGCUCAGGACGGGCCACCUUCACCGCAGGAUAUCUCGAGGAGGGUGCAUGUGGCGGGUAGGGCGAUGCUACCGACAAAUAUGCUCAAUGCUGCAACCGGUGCUAUGCGGAGUCUGCAUGACAGUGUUCUUUCUUUGGAGAAGCGGCGUCUCAGGGAGAAGGAUGUGGCAUACCCAGUUUUCGCGGCCAAGGUGCCAGAGGGCAAGGGCUUUGUGGAUAACUCCAUCGGGCGUACGAUCGUCCUGCGUUUUGAUGACAUCCACGCUAUUUUGAACCUUCAUCCGCUGCACUACACCUUCGUUCGGCUAUUUUCGCUGAGUAUGGAGAUGCGGAUCAUUCGCGACAAGACCCCGGACAUCGUGAUAGUUGACCCCUUCUAUAUGCGUGCCAAGAUCUUGGGCAGCGCUAGGGACCGGCAAGUCGCGAGUUCUUACCUCGAAGGCGUCAUUCUGGCAAACCAAGAUAAGGAUAACUUCCUCGUGCCUUACUUUCCCGAAUAAGUCCUCCCCUCAACCGGCCCGUAACAUAUGAAUUCUUACAUUUCGAUCAUUUUUCUUUUAACAUUCCGUGUUUUCUGCAGUGACACACGUUGCACGCUCAUCCUCCUAAGCCCCAAAUAUUCCAUGGCCACGUAUUUCGACCCGGACCGUCAGUCGAACGUAGACUACACAAAUGUCAAGAAGGUUCUUGAUGAUGUUCUCCCCGGCUACGCCAAAUCUGGAGGCACCUUCACCAGGCCUAUUCGUAAGUACGGCAAGCACGUGUUCUCCCACAAUACGAUGUUCUGCUGCGUCAAGCAGCCGCCUGGCGGUCAGAAGGGUGCCUACUAUGCCAUCCAUCACAUGCGGGCGAUCGUACGGGACCAUCAUCAACUUCUGCUACCGAGUAAACUCAAAGAUUGGGCAAAGAGCGUGUCGGCAAUCCAGGACGCGGACCUUCGACAAGAAUUUUUUCGCAUCCAAUCGGAGUUUGCGGAAAUCAUCCAUCAAGAUGUCCUUCGUACCUCGGGGCAGUUCUACCUCAACAAUCAACCGUCCAACAGUGACAUCGACACAAUGCUACAAAUGCAGACUGACAACGACCGUUAUUUCAUGACUCCCACGAUAGACGGCGGCUUCAUCCACGCUCCGGUCCCUUGAGUCGAGUCGAAAGCAGUGAUGUUGUGUCUAGUUCUGAAACAUCGAUUGGCUCAUGUUGUAAUUAAACUUUAAUGAACUUGUAGUAUGUCUCUUUGGUUUCGAGAGUCAUUCAACUUAGAUGUAAUCGAUGCUAUUAAUGUCUUGCUUUUUCUUCCGAUCGUUCUGUUGCAUACUUAUAUAUUGCUUAUGUAUUGUCUGUGAAUUGGUACUAACGUUUCAUUUGGCUAGUGCAUAGCGAUGCCGACGUAUGUCGUGUACAAGGGUAAGGUUCCCGGAGUCUACGAUGACUGGGAGGAGUGUUGGAGACAGGUUCACCGAUUCAGCGGUAACAGUUACAAAGGGUACACCACUAGGGCCGAGGCCAAAUCUAGAUACGCCCGCUAUCUAGCGGGAGAGGGGAGGGAGCGUUGGAGGAACCGGAUGAAGACGAGUUUCAUCGUGAUGAUGCUCAUCGUGAUGACCGCAGCUCUCUUCUAUGUGAUGGUAGUUUAGAUGAUCGAUAUCGACUUGUAAUGUGAAGACAAACUCGCUACUCACGGUCUCGAGACUUGUAAUAUAAUGUUCUAUCUUUGUUCGGUCUUUUUAAUUCGGAGACUAAUAUGAUGAAUUGUAUUCGGAGACUAAUAUGAUGAAUUGUAUUCAAAGACUAAUCUUCUAUUGUAUUCGAUGAAUCUGUUGUUGAUGUGUGCUGUCUAUAUUUUGUCAAAUUAUACAUUUUGUAACCUGUGCAAAAAACAGAAAAUAAAAAAAACCUAAUAUUCAUACUAAUGGAGCAUCACAUGACAGUGCGCCAUUAGUACGACAAAGCAUACUAAUGGCGCAUCACUAGACAGUGCGCCAUUAGUAUGCCGCGGUUACUAAUGGCGCAUCUCGUGGUCGUGCGCCAUUAGUAUGCCAAAGCACCUGGGUAUACAUGGCCCCUGGGAGGCAUACUAAUGGCGCACCGUAGCCUAUACUAAUGGCGCACCACUGGUGCGCCAUUAGUAAAAAUUACUAAUGGCGUGCUAGUAAUGGCGCACCAGUGAUGCGCCAUUAAUGGCCAAAUUAGGUGCGCCACUAGUAGCGGUUUUUCUAGUAGUGUGUGGUGACUGCAGCUGGUUUCUUUUCCAGUGAUCAUGAUCUCGCGUUGUUUGUUCACAUGUCUCCUCGUGGUCGGACUCUUCUCCUUCUCUAUGUUGAUGACAUGGUCAUCACUGGUGACGACUCUGAGUAUAUUGCCUUUGUUAAGGCUCGCCUUCGCGCCUAGUUUCUCAUGACUGAUCUUGGUCCACUUCGCUAUUUUCUUGGGAUUGAGAUCUCCUCGACCUCUCAUGGCUUUUACAUUUCCCAAGAAAAAUAUAUUCAGGAUCUUCUUACUCGCGCUGCUCUCAGUGAUGAGCGCACUGUUGUGACUCCUAUGGAGCUCAACGUUCAGCUUCGUGCCUCUGAUGGUGACCCUCUCCAUAAUCCCACUCGCUAUCGCCACCUCGUUGGCAGUCUUGUCUAUCUUGCUGUUACGCGUCCUGACAUCUCCUAUCCUGUCCACAUCCUGAGUCAAUUUGUUUCCGCCCCCACCUCUGUCCACUAUAGUCACCUCCUCAGUGUUCUACGAUAUCUUCGUGGCACGAUCUCUCAGCGCCUUUUCUUUCCCCGCUCCAGCUCUCUUGAGCUCCAGGCCUACUCUGAUGCUACCUGGGCUAGUGAUCCCUCUGAUCGACGAUCGUUGUCUGCUUACUGUGUCUUUCUUGGUACCUCUCUUAUUGCCUGGAAGACCAAGAAGCAGACUGCAGUUUCUCGCUCGAGUACAGAGGCUGAGUUGCGCGCCAUGGCUAUGUUGACGGCUGAGGUGAUCUGGUUACGGUGGUUACUUGAGGACUUUGGUGUGUCUGCUACUACCUCAACUCCUCUACUGUCCGACAGUACCGGUGCUAUCAGUAUUGCGCGUGACCCGGUGAAGCAUGAGCUCACCAAGCACAUCGGUGUGGAUGCCCACUUUGUGCAUGCUGCUGUGCAGGAUCAGACUCUCGCUCUUCACUAUGUGCCCUCUGAGUUACAGUUGGCUGACUUCUUCACGAAGGCACAGACUCGAGCGCAGCAUGAGUUUUUCCUCUCCAAACUCAGUGUUGUUGAUCCACCAUGAGUUUGAGGGGGGGGGGGGGUGUUAGAUGUAUAUAGUCCAUUGUGUACAUCCCCAUUGUAUAAGGAGCUUUUCUGCACUUUACCACAUCUGUAUAUGUACUGGCCAUUGGCCCUCAGUAAAGUUUAGUUGCUCAUUCCUAACAGUACCCACUCGCCUUCUCUCUUCUCCAACCGGGUAUCAAUUCACUCUUUCACUUUAGUUUAUUGAUUUGGCUCAGUGCAAUUAACUCAGUUGGAAGCGAUUAACUGAGUUGCUUGUUUAUCGACUUCGAAAAGUUAAUCGCUUUGGCACUAUAUUAUUAUGAGUAGAUGAACAAAAUAACACUCAAUACAUGUGCCCAGAUAUUGACCAACUCCUUUUGGUACUCGGAAACACAUUUUGACUAACUCAUCCACCUCACAACAGAUGGAUACGAUGCUGUUCACAGGCUUACAAUAGAUGGAUACAAGCAGUAUUUGUUAAGAGAGCAAGAUGGACAGACAAAAGAAGGUCAUCAAAUAAGCAAUAAAGUGCCAAUCAGGUCUCUCAGCAUAUAACAUUCCCGUUGGUUCAAGCUCAGCGUUCCACUUCAAUUUUCAACUGCUAUAUAUGUAUCAAUCUACAGCUGUAUUAUAAUGUACAUGUAAAUGUACAUACUGAUAGUACUCCAGCAUAAUUUUUGCAAAAUAAAAAUAUGAGCUGAAAAUAUGGCUGAAAGCAAAUCACUAUUACAGCCUUAAGAGUUAUAGCGAUAUCAAAGGAUAUUAAAGUGCCGAUGAAAAAUGAAACUAUAGCACCGAGGUUCCAAAUGUGACUGCCAAUCAAGUUACUCAUUUGACAUUUAAGUUGGCACAAGGAUGAUCGACAUGUACUAGGCAGAAAGAUUUUACUCUUGAAGAUAUCAAACUCAUACGCCUGUUGCCAAAUCUGAUGCUGAAAAGAUUUAUCCAUAUGACUACUGUUCAUUGUUACAGAAUUGCAUCCGGCAGAAAAAGAAAACAAAAAAAGGCACGCCAUUACCUGUAGCAUAGAAAUUUUGCAAUGCAUGAUACAUGGUAUAUUCCUGGCCCUGCCACUGUUGCAAAGUCUCUUAAACGUCAAUAAUUGGAGAUGGACCAUGAACAAAACACGAGAUGUCCUUACAAGCGUCACAUUGUUUUCCUUGUGGAACCCCACUAAAGCCGGAGACUUCCUCCUGCGUGCUGCCCCAAAAGGAGGAAGCUUAUCCAGUUCAAUACUUCUUCCCAGAAUAUUUUGGGGGACUGAACCUGCGUCGACGAACAAUCAUGACACUGAAUUGGUGCAAGAAGAUAUAGGUCCACCACUAGCGGAGGUAGAUGCUGUUGCAGGAACCUAGAACCAGACCAGGACCAACUGGCGAGAGGCGAUGAAGAACAUGUUCUUGCAAGAGAGGCAGAGAAGCAUCAAGAUGGAGGUGAGAAUGGUGGAAGCAAGCCAAGAAAAGUUGAGCUGACAGAGGAGCAGUAGGCGUGCAUGGGGACUGAGCGACACAAGGCGUUGGAGAUAUGAAACCUGAUGCUCCCACAGUUUAUGGUUACAUGCAUCAGCCGUAUGCAUGAUGGAUUCUCAGACAUCCUCUGGUUCUAUGGAACGGAAACUUCUAUGUUCGCAGUGCUCAAGAAACUGAACCAUACCAGCUCAUCCACAAUUUGGCAGGCAUUAUAGAUGAACUCAUCAGAAGAAUCUUAAUAGAAGAUAUUAACUAACUUAUCCACUCAUACAGAUAAAAACUAGAUCUCUCAUGUAGUGAUAGACGAUCUGGACUAAAAUAACCUGGCUGCCAAUCUCCCAACACAAACAUCAGUACGAGUCUUGUUGCCAGCAUCUUUUGCUUACAUAGAUACAUACGACGCUCAAUACAGAGUUACAGACAUAUCAAACUACAUCAGCACCAUCUUGAUCAUCCGCCAUCCAUCUCCAGGUGUAU
Molecule: long non-coding RNA, 41352 nt
Filed under: Triticum aestivum (bread wheat)
Lineage: Eukaryota; Viridiplantae; Streptophyta; Magnoliopsida; Poales; Poaceae
Description: long non-coding RNA (TAES_LNC015558)
Rfam family: tRNA (bases 21315-21386)
Source: RNAcentral